RNAcentral lists this ribosomal RNA (257 nucleotides) under uncultured soil bacterium. Its description in RNAcentral is "partial 16S ribosomal RNA". It matches the Rfam family "Bacterial small subunit ribosomal RNA", at positions 26 to 285 of the family's 1533-position model. The record is from RNAcentral.
AGGACGAACGCUGGCGGCGUGCUUAACACAUGCAAGUCGAGCGGUAAGGCCCUUUCGGGGGCACACGAGCGGCGAACGGGUGAGUAACGCGUGAGCAAUCUGCCCUUCACUUCGGGAUAAGCCUCGGAAACGGGGUCUAAUACCGGAUAUGACUGCGCCAUGCAUGUGGUGUGGUGGAAAGUUCUGGCGGUGAGGGAUGAGCUCGCGGCCUAUCAGCUUGUUGGUGGGGUAAUGGCCUACCAAGGCUUCGACGGGUA